RNAcentral lists this transfer RNA (68 nucleotides) under Schistosoma japonicum. Its description in RNAcentral is "tRNA-Ala". Lineage: Eukaryota; Metazoa; Platyhelminthes; Trematoda; Strigeidida; Schistosomatidae. The record is from RNAcentral.
AACAGUAUAUUUUAAGUAUAGAAUGUCUGUUCUGCAAACAGAUGGUGAAGAUAAUUUUUCUAUUGUUA